GGCUUUGGCGGCAGCUACACAUGCAGUCGAGCGGUAGCACAGAGAGCUUGCUCUCGGGUGACGAGCGGCGGACGGGUGAGUAAUGUCUGGGAAACUGCCUGAUGGAGGGGGAUAACUACUGGAAACGGUAGCUAAUACCGCAUAACGUCGCAAGACCAAAGUGGGGGACCUUCGGGCCUCAUGCCAUCAGAUGUGCCCAGAUGGGAUUAGCUGGUAGGUGGGGUAACGGCUCACCUAGGCGACGAUCCCUAGCUGGUCUGAGAGGAUGACCAGCCACACUGGAACUGAGACACGGUCCAGACUCCUACGGGAGGCAGCAGUGGGGAAUAUUGCACAAUGGGCGCAAGCCUGAUGCAGCCAUGCCGCGUGUGUGAAGAAGGCCUUCGGGUUGUAAAGCACUUUCAGCGGGGAGGAAGGCGGUGAGGUUAAUAACCUUGUCGAUUGACGUUACCCGCAGAAGAAGCACCGGCUAACUCCGUGCCAGCAGCCGCGGUAAUACGGAGGGUGCAAGCGUUAAUCGGAAUUACUGGGCGUAAAGCGCACGCAGGCGGUCUGUCAAGUCGGAUGUGAAAUCCCCGGGCUCAACCUGGGAACUGCAUUCGAAACUGGCAGGCUAGAGUCUUGUAGAGGGGGGUAGAAUUCCAGGUGUAGCGGUGAAAUGCGUAGAGAUCUGGAGGAAUACCGGUGGCGAAGGCGGCCCCCUGGACAAAGACUGACGCUCAGGUGCGAAAGCGUGGGGAGCAAACAGGAUUAGAUACCCUGGUAGUCCACGCUGUAAACGAUGUCGAUUUGGAGGUUGUGCCCUUGAGGCGUGGCUUCCGGAGCUAACGCGUUAAAUCGACCGCCUGGGGAGUACGGCCGCAAGGUUAAAACUCAAAUGAAUUGACGGGGGCCCGCACAAGCGGUGGAGCAUGUGGUUUAAUUCGAUGCAACGCGAAGAACCUUACCUGGUCUUGACAUCCACAGAACUUUCCAGAGAUGGAUUGGUGCCUUCGGGAACUGUGAGACAGGUGCUGCAUGGCUGUCGUCAGCUCGUGUUGUGAAAUGUUGGGUUAAGUCCCGCAACGAGCGCAACCCUUAUCCUUUGUUGCCAGCGGUCCGGCCGGGAACUCAAAGGAGACUGCCAGUGAUAAACUGGAGGAAGGUGGGGAUGACGUCAAGUCAUCAUGGCCCUUACGACCAGGGCUACACACGUGCUACAAUGGCAUAUACAAAGAGAAGCGACCUCGCGAGAGCAAGCGGACCUCAUAAAGUAUGUCGUAGUCCGGAUUGGAGUCUGCAACUCGACUCCAUGAAGUCGGAAUCGCUAGUAAUCGUAGAUCAGAAUGCUACGGUGAAUACGUUCCCGGGCCUUGUACACACCGCCCGUCACACCAUGGGAGUGGGUUGCAAAAGAAGUAGGUAGCUUAACCUUCGGGAGGGCGCUACCACUUGGAUCAGGGC
This 1443-nucleotide ribosomal RNA is filed under the name Klebsiella pneumoniae. Its description in RNAcentral is "bacterial SSU rRNA". It matches the Rfam family "Bacterial small subunit ribosomal RNA". The record is from RNAcentral. Lineage: Bacteria; Pseudomonadati; Pseudomonadota; Gammaproteobacteria; Enterobacterales; Enterobacteriaceae.